UAGUCAUAUGCUUGUCUCAAAGAUUAAGCCAUGCAUGUCUAAGCACAAGCCGAUUAAUGGUGAAGCCGCGAAUGGCUCAUUACAACAGCCAUAGUUUCUUAGAUCUUACUUUUCUACUUGGAUAACUGUGGUAAUUCUAGAGCUAAUACACGCAAACAAGCUCAGACCUUACGGAAUGAGCGCAUUUAUUAGAACAAAAACCAAUCGGGCUUCGUCCGUCAUUUGGUGAAUCUGAAUAACUUUGCUGAUCGCACGGUCUUCGUACCGGCGACAUAUCUUUCAAAUGUCUGCCUUAUCAACUUUCGAUGGUAGUUUAUGCGCCUACCAUGGUUGUAACGGGUAACGGAGAAUAAGGGUUCGACUCCGGAGAGGGAGCCUGAGAAACGGCUACCACAUCCAAGGAAGGCAGCAGGCACGCAAAUUACCCACUCCCGGCACGGGGAGGUAGUGACGAAAAAUAACGAGACGGCUCGCUAUGCGGUCCGUCAUCGGAAUGGGUACAAUUUAAAUCCUUUAACGAGGAUCUAUU
RNAcentral lists this ribosomal RNA (529 nucleotides) under uncultured eukaryote. RNAcentral describes it as "SSU rRNA". It matches the Rfam family "Eukaryotic small subunit ribosomal RNA", at positions 21 to 549 of the family's 1831-position model. The record is from RNAcentral.